RNAcentral lists this ribosomal RNA (450 nucleotides) under uncultured bacterium. RNAcentral describes it as "partial 16S ribosomal RNA". It matches the Rfam family "Bacterial small subunit ribosomal RNA", at positions 354 to 796 of the family's 1533-position model. The record is from RNAcentral.
GUGGGGAAUUUUGGACAAUGGGCGCAAGCCUGAUCCAGCAAUGCCGCGUGCAGGAAGAAGGCCUUCGGGUUGUAAACUGCUUUUGUACGGAACGAAACGGUCCUGGUUAAUACCUGGGGCUAAUGACGGUACCGUAAGAAUAAGCACCGGCUAACUACGUGCCAGCAGCCGCGGUAAUACGUAGGGUGCGAGCGUUAAUCGGAAUUACUGGGCGUAAAGCGUGCGCAGGCGGUGCUGUAAGACAGGCGUGAAAUCCCCGGGCUCAACCGUGGAAUUGCGCUUGUGACUGCAGUGCUGGAGUACGGCAGAGGGGGAUGGAAUUCCGCGUGUAGCAGUGAAAUGCGUAGAUAUGCGGAGGAACACCGAUGGCGAAGGCAGUCCCCUGGGCCUGUACUGACGCUCAUGCACGAAAGCGUGGGGAGCAAACAGGAUUAGAUACCCUUGUAGUCC